ACGGGAAUGGGAAAAUCUUUAGAGAAGCCCCUAUUUCACAGCAGCCGGAAUACACCCAACGUGGCUUAAUGUGAAUUUUUCUUUCUGUCCCUGCCACUUCCCACGCUUCCUUCUCUGGUCUCAAGUUUUCAACAUUUGAAAUCCUCUCUCCCCCCAACUCGUCGCCCAGCCCCGUCUCCCCGAAAUCCUCUCUUCCCUCAACAUUUAAAAUCCUCUCUGGUAUUCACUCCCAACCCCCCUCGGCAUCUCCUGCACCCUAACCUGUCGGCAUCUCCCCAACCCCCCAUCAUCUCUGUACCCCAACCCGUCUGCAUCAUGUCCCCAACCCCCCAUCAUCUCCCGCACCCCAACCCGUUACGCAUCUUCUCCCCCCUCCAACCCGUUAGGCAUUCACUAAUCCUCACAAACCCCCAUCCUCUCCCGCACCCCAACCCCGUUAGGUAUUCACUCAUCCUGUAAAACCCCAUCCUCUCCCCCACCCCCGCGUCGCCCAUCAUCUCCCCCAAUCCAACCCGUUGUCCAGCCCAUUCUCUCUGCCAUCUGCCUUUCUCUUACUUGCCGUCGACCCUCCCUCUACUGAAGGCGAAUAAUCGCACAUGGCAUCAUCUCAAUCUUCAUCAUCAAUUAAUGAUUUUGUAAUAGAAUCACCAACUUGUUGGUGUGAGUUGAAAACAACUGUAAAGACGUCCCACACAUCAAAAAAACUUGGAAGGAGAUUUUUUGCUUGCCCGAAAUAUGAUACGCGAGAUGCAAGGUGUGAAUUCUUCAUUUGGAUGGAUAUAUACCAUUUGUUAGAUGAAAACAUUUGUACAAGAGAGAAUAAAGUUUGGAAGAUGUGGGAUGAUGUAGUGAUGCACGAGUAUGAAGUUCGGAAAAGAGAAGAUAAAGUAAUAGAGAGAGAGAGAGAGAGAGAGAACUCUUCAAAACCAAAGUCGUAAAUUAUUGUGUUUGUAUUGGGUUGUCACAAUUAUAAUAGUUUUGGUUUGGUUUGAAUAAAUUGUAUGUAAAUUUAUUCGAACCAAACAAUAGAUAGUUUGUAUUGGGUUGUCACAAUUGUAAUAGUUUUGUAACGGUUUGGUUAAAUUGUAUGUAAAUUUUCCGAACCAUAUGGAGUAGAUCGUUUUUAAAUGUCUCCAAAUGUAAUUGUACUCCCUCUAUGUUUUGAUAAUGAGGAGGAGAUGGUGGGAGACCCUUCUUAGUUGUUUUGGUUCAUAGUUGAGUUCCUUCACUGUUAUGAUGUAUAGAACGUGGAAGAAUUCAAGGCUGUAAAAACUCAUCAGAAAAUGUAAAUGGUUCUAGUUUUUCAAUCUAA
Long non-coding RNA from Carya illinoinensis, 1312 nucleotides. RefSeq lists it as uncharacterized. The transcript has 3 exons. Lineage: Eukaryota; Viridiplantae; Streptophyta; Magnoliopsida; Fagales; Juglandaceae. The record is from RefSeq and is a predicted model, not a curated record.